This 3819-nucleotide ribosomal RNA is filed under the name Triticum aestivum (bread wheat). RNAcentral describes it as "partial small subunit ribosomal RNA". Lineage: Eukaryota; Viridiplantae; Streptophyta; Magnoliopsida; Poales; Poaceae. The record is from RNAcentral.
AUGGAUCCGCUCCGGAGCUACCUGGGGCGGCUCCUCCUCGAGGACGUCACCCCGGUGGUCAUGGUGCUGACCACCCCGCUCGCCGAGGCCGCGUGCCGCAAGAGCGGCCUCAGCUUCGUCGACAUGCUCUCCCCGUUCUCCCUCUUCAAGAAAAUCGACGUGCCCGUUCGCACAGCGAGUGACCAGCCUUACAGGCUCCAGCAGUUCAAGAUUCGGAUGGUGUACGCGUCGGAUGUCCGGAAGCAGGACUGCGAGGUUGCGGAUGCGAGAAUUAAGCUGGUGGUUUCCGAGGCCAACGAGAAGGCUCUUCCGGAUUUGCUUUCAGAUCCGCCACAGUUGAAAGAUGUACUCAAUAAGCCUGAAGCUGAGUUGUGCCCAUUGUGGAUUAAGAAGUUCAACAGAGAGCUAAUACGGACACUGUCCUUUUCAGACCAUGAAACAUUUGAUCACCCUGUGGCAUGUCUUUUAGUGGUAUCGUCAAAGGACAAAGAGCCAAUUAGCAAAUUCGCUGAUCUGUUCAACGCAAAUCAGUUGCCUCCUCUUUUAAAUGAAGGCAUAAUGGAUCCCCAGAUUCUGAAGCACUAUCUUGUACUUCAUGAACAACAAGAUGGACCACAAGAGAUAGCUGUGAACAUCUUAGCGGAAAUGAGGACCACCCUUGGCUUGAAUGAUUGUAAAUUGCUGAGUAUUAACUCUUCUACACAAGCAGAUGGCAGUGAUGCUGAUAAUUCGUGGUCAACCUAUAAAGCUCAUGGCUUGCACAAUCAUGAAGGAACUUGUUUCCUUAACAUGGAUGAUUUGAACGAGAUAAAGGAUUUUAUGCAAGAUUUUGCUUCUAAUCAUAUCAUUCCCUACAUGGAGCAAAAGAUCCGUGUGCUCAAUCAGCAGGUAGCCACAACAAGAAAGGGCUUUAGAAAUCAGAUAAAGAACUUGUGGUGGAGAAAGAGAGAUGAUGUCCCAGAAGCUGCAAAUGGCCCAAUGUAUACAUUCACCUCCAUAGAGUCGCAGAUCAGAGUUCUCAGUGACUAUGCUUUCAUGUUAAGAGACUACGAGCUUGCCUUGUCCAAUUACAGAUUACUUUCGACAGAUUAUAAGCUUGAUAAAGCUUGGAAGCGUUUUGCUGGUGUUCAGGAGAUGAGUGGACUUUGCUAUUUCAUGUUAGAUCAGUCAAGGAAGGAUGCUGAAUAUUGCAUGGAAAAUGCCUUCACUACAUAUUUGAGAAUUGGAUCAUCUGGUCAGAGAAAUGCUACUAGAUGUGGCCUUUGGUGGGCAGAAAUGCUUAAAACACGAGGACAACAUAGGGAAGCAUCAACUGUUUAUUUCCGCAUAUCAAAUGAGGAACCUUCCUUGCAUUCUGCUGUGCUGCUUGAGCAAGCUGCUUGUUGCUAUUUGUUGUCAAGUCCACGUAUGCUUCGGAAGUAUGGAUUUCACCUAAUCUUAGCUGGCAAUAGUUACUACUUGUCUGAUCAGAAACAACAUGCUGUUCGGGCAUACAGAAAUGCUCUGUUUGUCUACAAACAAAAUCCUUGGAGUUACAUCAACAAUCAUGUACAUUUUAAUGUUGGGAGGUGGUAUGGAGUCCUUGGGAUAUUCGAUGUAGCUAUCAAGCACUUGCUGGAGGUUAUUGCUUGUAGCCAUCAGUCGCUGACAACGCAAAGCAUGUUCCUCAAUGAUUUUUUCCAUUUUGUUCAGAGUACAGGGGAAAAGUUUGAUGUAUACAAGCUUCAACUUCCUGUUUUCAACAUGUCAUCACUCAGAGUUGUAAAUGAAGAUCACCGCACUUACGCAUCAAAUGCAGAUGUUGAUGUUAAUGAAAGCAUUUGGCAGGAGCUGGAAGAAGAAUUGAUCCCAUCGUCAUCUGUUGUUAGAACUAACUGGCUCGACACUCAGCCAAAAUCUUCCCCUUUUAGAAAUAACAAGGCAUGUGUUUGUGUUGCUGGAGAGGCAGUAAAACUGAACGUUGAGCUGAAGAAUCCUUUACAAAUUUCCGUCAAUGUGUCUGGCAUCUCCCUUUUAUGCCAGCUUUCCACCAAUUUGAAUGCUUCAGAGACUGGUGCAUUAACAACAGCUGCCGAGGAAGAUAUAGCUAGCACAAAGCCCUCUAUUUCAACAUUUGAAAGUGAUGGAAACAAUUUUACGGUAUCGAAGCUUGACAUUGUAUUAGGAGGAGGUGAAACCAAAAGAAUACAACUUGAAGUGACUCCAAAAGUUAUAGGUAUUCUGAAGUUAGUUGGGAUAAGGUGGACUCUGUCAGAUUCAGUAGUAGGCUAUCAGUACUUCGAAGUGGCUACACAAAAGAAAAACAAGAAAGGGAAAAGAGGGGCUCGGCGUUCUUUGAACACCAACCUGAUUGUUAUCAAGGGUUUACCUAAACUUACAGGAUAUAUUGAGUGCUUGCCAACAAAAGCAUUUACUGGUGAUUUACAACUCCUCACGCUGAAUCUGAGAAACCAAUCAGAACAUGCUGUGAAGAAUAUAAAAAUGAAAAUUAGCCAUCCAAGGUUUGUAAUUCCGGGUGAUUCAUCAGAUCUUGACCUUGAAUUCCCACAGUGCUUAAGAAAGCAUGUGCAGUCAGACAGCAAUACUGUAUCCGAAGGUACUAAGGAAAAUGUCAAGGGUUCGCUAUUUGCAUUUCCUCAGGGAAUUAAAAUUCAAGGUGGCACCACAUUCUCUUGGCCUAUUUGGUUUCAUGCUGCAACUCCUGGAAACUUCUCUCUUUAUUUGUCUCUCUAUUAUGAAAUGGAGAGUACCACUGACAUUCCAUAUCGCACAUUGCGCAUGCAUUACAAUGUGGAGGUCUUGCCUUCACUUGAUGUAUCCUUUGCUAUAAGUAUGUGUUCAUCAAGAUUGCAAGAGUAUAUUGUGCGAAUGGACGUAAUCAACAAGACUCCAUCAGACUCAUUUGCACUUAAUCAGUUGUCAUGUGUCGGCACUAAAUGGGCAGUUUCAACAUUACCCUCGCGUGAUUCCAUCAGCUUUGUGGAAACAAUACCAGCAAACCAAGCUGUGUCAUGCUUCUUCAAGAUAAAGGAUUUAAGUACAAGUUCAUGUAUUGAGGCGGCAGACGGUUCCUGUGGAAGUGAUAUAGUUUUAUCUCCUGGGGUUAGUACUGAUGUAUUUGAUGUUUCUCGGACUCCUAUCACUGAUUUCCACUAUCAAGAAAGACACCAACAAGGGAAGUUAGCUAAGGUGCCACGUGGUCUACUUGAUUUUAUUCUGAUCUCAAAGGCAGUAGCUGUUAACUCUUCCAAGUCAGAACAACUGCUCUCUCAUCAUACUUGCCACUGCAGUGCUCUCAGCCAAAAUCCUGUUUGGUGGCUUAUGGAAGGACCUCGAACAAUUACUCAUGAUUUCUCGAAGUCAUGCUGUGAGGCUAACAUCCAACUGGUGAUUCACAAUUCUUCAAAACACAACACUACCGUGAGAGUGGUUACAUCUGACUGUAUGGCAGAGAAAAGCCAGACUGCCCCUUCACAUGAAUCUGCCAGUGGUCAGGGUGGAUGGCAUGACGUAUCGCUGGAAAACGACAUAAAAGCCAUCGCAAGCACGAAGGGGACACAUUCUCAGAAACAAUCAUCAGAAAGCAUUUCACCGUUUGUUUGGUGUUCAUUGAGUUCCGCUCAAGUUGAUCUGAAACCUGACAGUUCUGCUAAAAUUCCCCUAAAAGUGUGCAUAUUUGCACCCGGAACGUACAAUUUUUCAACAUAUGAGCUGCACUGGAAAGUGCAUUCAUCUGAGAGUGGACACGUGGAUGAAAAUGUGACAUCAGGUGGUGGCCAAGGGUAUCCUUUCUAUGUUAAUGUUCUUCAAGGCGCCUGA